Molecule: long non-coding RNA, 573 nt
Filed under: Salmo salar (Atlantic salmon)
Lineage: Eukaryota; Metazoa; Chordata; Actinopteri; Salmoniformes; Salmonidae
Description: lncRNA (ENSSSAG00000103920.1)
Source: RNAcentral
CGGGGCUGGGGUUAGAGGUAGUACCGGGGCUGGGGUUAGAGGUAGUACUGGGGCUGGGGUUAGUGGUAGUACCGGGACUGGGGUUAGAGGUAGUGCUGGGGUUAGAUGUAGUACCGGGGCUGGGGUUAGAGGUAGUACUGGGGCUGGGGUUAGAGGUAGUACCGGGGCUGGGAUUAGAGGUAGUACCGGGGCUGUGGUUAGAGGUAGUACUGGGGCUGGGGUUAGAGGUAGUACUGGGGUUAGAGGUAAUACUGGGGUUGGGGUUAGAGGUAGUACUGGGGCUGGGGCUAGAGGUAGUACUGGGGCUGGGGUUAGAGGUAGUACUGGUGCUGGGGUUAGAGGUAGUACUGGAGCUGGGGUUAGAGGUAGUACUGGGGCUGGGGUUAGAGGUAGUACUGGGGUUUAGAGGUAGUACUGGGGCUGGGGCUAGAGGUAGUACUGGGGCUGGGGCUAGAGGUAGUACCGGGGCUGGGGUUAGAGGUAGUACCGGGGCUGGGGUUAGAGGUAGUACUGGGGCUGGGGUUAGUGGUAGUACCGGGACUGGGGUUAGAGGUAGUGCUGGGGUUAGAGGUA